UACGGAGGGGGCAAACGUUGCGCGGAAUCAUUGGGCGUAAAGCGCACGUAGGCGGUGCAGUAAGUCGGAUGUGAAAGCCCUCGGCUCAACAGAGGAAGUGCAUUCGAAACUGCUGUGCUUGAGUACGGAAGAGGGUCUCGGAAUUCCCGGUGUAGAGGUGAAAUUCGUAGAUAUCGGGAGGAACACCAGUGGCGAAGGCGGAGACCUGGGCCGAUACUGACGCUGAGGUGCGAAAGCGUGGGGAGCAAACAGG
This 253-nucleotide ribosomal RNA is filed under the name uncultured bacterium. Its description in RNAcentral is "partial 16S ribosomal RNA". It matches the Rfam family "Bacterial small subunit ribosomal RNA", at positions 524 to 776 of the family's 1533-position model. The record is from RNAcentral.